This 73-nucleotide transfer RNA is filed under the name Stenotrophomonas phage CUB19. It matches the Rfam family "tRNA". Rfam says of the family: Transfer RNA (tRNA) molecules are approximately 80 nucleotides in length. Lineage: Duplodnaviria; Heunggongvirae; Uroviricota; Caudoviricetes. The record is from Rfam by way of RNAcentral.
GGGCCUAUAGCUCAAUGGUUAGAGCGUGGGACUCAUAAUCCCUUGGUUCACAGUUCAAGUCUGUGUAGGCCCA